RNAcentral lists this long non-coding RNA (687 nucleotides) under Anser brachyrhynchus (Pink-footed goose). RNAcentral's name for it is "lncRNA (ENSABRG00000004038.1)". Lineage: Eukaryota; Metazoa; Chordata; Aves; Anseriformes; Anatidae. The record is from RNAcentral.
CCCGGGGCCUGCAUGAGAUGUUUUUGCACAAAACGGCCGUGGCCCUGGAGCCACCUGCCUUUGGGGACAGUUUUCCUGGUGGAUGAAAGGAUUUUCCCUCUUCUUGCAGGAUGCAUCGAUGGGCAGGAGCUGGGGGGGGGAGAACCUUUGCUGGAGAGCGGUGGGCUCAGCUGUUGGACAAAACAGACCAAGAGGCAAGAGGUGGGAAGAAAAAAAGAGAGAUCUAUGUACGCAGCCUUGCUUUUUUGGGAUGCCUUUCCCAGGACAGACCCCCCGGCACGGGACAGAUUGAAGCACACAGUGGAGCACUUACCAGAGCCAGAACCGGAGCUCAAGAAGCUGGUGGGCUGGAAGACCUACGUUAAACACCAUGAUGGCACCACGUGAGACAGAUUGCUCGUUGCGGGGACAUCCUGGAGCAUAAGGAAGAAAUUCAAGAAAUUCACCCAUAGUGACGUUUCUGGAGACUUUAUCACAUUAUUUCUAUUGCUCGGGGCGCUAGGCAGGGUUAAUCUCUGCUGGAAGCCCAGCGAGCUGUGCUGAGCAUCGGGCGCUCGCGUUUCGGAUGCUCAGAGCAGCCUCCACCUCCCCGCCAUCCCAAGGGAUGCAGCUGGGGAUGCAGCGUCGAUGCUGACCUACUUUUCCUCUCUUUUGCAGGUCUUACGCCAAGCCACAUCUGCCGACGAG